GGUUUCGUAGCUCAAUUGGUUAGGGCAUCGACCUGAUACGUCGAAGGUUGAAGGUUCGAGUCCUUCCGAAACUA
This 74-nucleotide transfer RNA is filed under the name Chryseobacterium arthrosphaerae. RNAcentral describes it as "tRNA-Ile". It matches the Rfam family "tRNA". Rfam says of the family: Transfer RNA (tRNA) molecules are approximately 80 nucleotides in length. The record is from RNAcentral. Lineage: Bacteria; Pseudomonadati; Bacteroidota; Flavobacteriia; Flavobacteriales; Weeksellaceae.